UGUUUACAGCGAGCUUGUCGAACCUGUCGAUGGAUCGAAGGGAUAAGGUGCAAUUUGGGAAUGCUGUGAAAAUCAGCAACUGUGCCGCAACUGUAAUUAGUUAAGCGUAUAGAUAAUAGCGUAUAGUGUUUAGUUUCUAAAAUUUUAACUAUACGCUGUACCCUAUACGCUAUAACCUUAACUAAAAGUCAGGAGACCGACCACAUGAAAGUGACUAGU
This 219-nucleotide non-coding RNA is filed under the name Candidatus Microgenomates bacterium. The record is from RNAcentral. Lineage: Bacteria; Candidatus Microgenomatota.